UCAAAAGUAGGGAAGCCGAUGGUGCGGCC
RNAcentral lists this non-coding RNA (29 nucleotides) under Homo sapiens (human). Lineage: Eukaryota; Metazoa; Chordata; Mammalia; Primates; Hominidae. The record is from RNAcentral.